This is a long non-coding RNA of Oryctolagus cuniculus (rabbit), 2857 nucleotides long. RefSeq lists it as uncharacterized. The record is from RefSeq and is a predicted model, not a curated record. Lineage: Eukaryota; Metazoa; Chordata; Mammalia; Lagomorpha; Leporidae.
AAUAGCUGUUACAGGCUGCUUGAGAAGAAAAAGAGGCUUAUUUAGCUCAGUUAGAGUCUCAGUAGCUUAGCACAGGCCCUGUGAUGACUGCCACUCCUUGGUUGCUCCAUCUCAUGGUGCAGACAGCAAUGGAUGGAGGGCACACAAGAGCAAUCAAGUGCUUCUACCUUGAACUAGGAGCAAAACAGAGCUGAGAGGUUGUGGUGGCUUCUCUCGGGCAUUCCCCAGGAGAAUCACUUGGAGUGUCGCAGCCCAGAAGCACUGACUCAGAUCCACUUGGGAAUGGCCUGGGAACUGGAACUUCUGACAAACAACCCAGAUGAUAUUGACGCAGUGCCUGGGGACACACUUCACAAAAUAGCGCCUGAGUGCAGUGUUAGAGCUUGGAAGACAGUGGGAACCUCUACAGGGCUAUUUUUAUCACAUGUUGCUCCCAACACUUCCCUUUGACAUCAGUGUGACCCUGCAUUCAAGUGUCACUGAAUGUUUCCGUGACAUUUUAAUGAGAGGCCACUGAUGAAGACACAAGAUGGAAACAGAACUCCCGACCUGAACACAUCCAUCUCUGACCACAGGUCACACCACCCAGUGCCAAACCAACCAGGAACAAGCAGCAUCCAGACUCUAAUGGUGAAAGACCCCCUACUGCCUAAGUAGGAACUUUUCCAACCCAGGCAUAUGCCCAGAGUAGCUCAGUACCACCAUAUAUGACCCUCUGGGGGUGCUGGUAGCAAGCAACACCACCAUUUUCAGAGUAUCAUGCUCAAAAGAAGCAACUACACCAGCACGGAACACCAUAAUAGGUGCAAACCAGGUGCUGUGUGCUGAGGGGGAGGAGCCAGAGAUCUAGAGGGCAUGGCCUUACCUCCCCAACCCAACAAAACCUAAUGUUUCGCUUCCAAUGAAGAGCCAGUCAGCAGAACCUCUUCCCGCCUUACCUAAGAUUGACCCCCCAGGGAAACUUAUGUGGGUUGAAUGCUGACUGCUUAUUAAUCUCCAUUGCAAGUGAGCCAAGUUGGUGUCCAUUCUAAAGACCACAUAGAGGCAGUCAGUCCCAUCUUUUCACCUCCAGCAAGGUAGGCCCUCCUCUAGUCACCCACAUCCAUUGGCCCUGGCUCCUGUAGCCCAAGCCCCAACAUCUCCUGCCUUGACCUCUGUGGUCACUGCCCAUCUCGCCUCCUCUCUUUCUGUCUCACACUUUCAGUCUUUCACCAUACUGAAGCCAAAACACAUUCAAAAUUUUUAACUUGGAUGAGUCAUUUCACCGCUCAGUUUGCUUUACUAAAGAUUUAUUUAUUUAAAGGCAGAGCAACAGAGACAGAGAGAAAUCUGUCUUCUGGUUCACUCCCUAAAUGGCUGCUACAACCAGGACUCAGUCAAGCAGAAGCCAGGAGCCAGGAACUCCAUCCAGGUCUCUCACAUAGGGGGCAGGGGCCCAAGCCCUCCAGCCAUCUUCCUCUGCCUUCCCAGGCACAUUAGCAGGAAGCAGAGCAGCUGGAACUUGAUACAGCACUCCUAUAUGGGAUGCUGGUGUUGCAAGACAUGGUUUAACCCACUGCACAACAAUGCCAGCCCCAGACUUAGCUUUCUCUAUUUAACCUUUCCAUUGAAUGACAAUAAACUGCCAAGGCCUUGUCAUGGCGACUGAGGGUCUCUGUGUUCAGGGACUCUCCCAAAUCUCCCAUCUCCCACUCUGUUCCAGCCCCUGCCUAUCUUCACCUUUCUUGAGCAUGUCAGCUCCUUCCUGUUUGGAGGCCUUCCUACCCAGCCCUUCCCAGCCUAAAGGCUGCCCUGCAUGAGAUGACUUCCCAGGUUACCCUUCUCCCCACCCAUGACCUCCCUGCCAAGUUGCUCUUGUUUACUGCCCAGAACUCCUCUUAGUCUGUGGUGGUUUUCUUUGUUGGGUUGAUUUUCUAUACUAGGAGGCAAGUCCUACAAGGUGGAGGACCAGGUACUGGUGAAUCCCAAGCUUCUAGAAAAGCCCUCUGGUACAGACUAGGCACAUGGACAACACUUGUGGAAUGGAUGGAUGAGCCUCUGAAGCCUCAUUGUUUUGUGACUCAAAGAUAAAAAUACGGCCUACUUCAUAGAGUUGUCAAAAGGAUUAAAUGAGAAAAUGCUAAGAGCUCAGUAAAUGUUAGCUUUAUUAUUACUCCAUUAAUAUAUCACUACCAACAUGGUACACUUAGUAAUACUAGUGCCAUUCUAACACAAUAUUACUACUAUUACAGUAGUAAUACAAUUAUUCUUGUCAACAGCCUUUAUGAGGCAGGUAAACUAACUACAACUUGUAGGUAAGGAGACAAAAAUCAGAAGUCCAAGGCCUGCUCAAGAUCACUUAGCUAAUACAUGCCGAGCUUGAAUUUUAGGAGCAAAGAGUUGCAAAUCGAUAAAGAUUUCAACCUUGGAUGAUUACAAGAAGGGUAUUACCAAUGACAUAGAUAAGACUUUUGGAGAGAGGCAGCUCUAAGAGUGGGUUGCUAAAUAUCCGAUGUAAAGAUGCCUUGUGGAAUGACUGGAGAUACAGACCUUUCACUCAGAUGAGAUCUCAGAAGCUGGAGGCUUGAGGGCAGGAUUUGGAGAGUUCAGCAUGAAGAAACAGAGCCCCUGAGUUGUGGUCCUAAUACCAGGCCUGGAUGCCUGCAAAGCGUCCCCUCCCCCUUCCCCAUCCCUGUCUCUCUCUCAACUGACAGAUGCUACAGGUUCUUCCCAUGGGCCUUCCCCUCUCUCGAAUGCACCCACCCUCACACCUCCCUAGCCCUCUAGAGACUGCCAUCCCCUUCAGUCUUCCCUCUUCCUUGAUCCCUCCCUACCACUUCCAUAUCGGCUUUGGAGGCUUGCUGUGACGCCCCUUAGA